CAACCCUUAAGCCUGUGUUGCUUAGUGUUGGGAGAAUACCUCCCCCAGGGGGGUAUCUCCUCAAAGUCAGUGGCGGAGUUAGGGCACACUCUCAGCGUAGUAGUUUCUCUCGCUCGGGUGGUGGCCCUGGCUGCUUGCCGUGAAGCCUUUGUAUUUUUCUAAU
RNAcentral lists this unclassified non-coding RNA (163 nucleotides) under uncultured fungus. Its description in RNAcentral is "sequence contains ITS2". The record is from RNAcentral. Lineage: Eukaryota; Fungi.